This 1541-nucleotide ribosomal RNA is filed under the name Escherichia coli. RNAcentral describes it as "bacterial SSU rRNA". It matches the Rfam family "Bacterial small subunit ribosomal RNA". The record is from RNAcentral. Lineage: Bacteria; Pseudomonadati; Pseudomonadota; Gammaproteobacteria; Enterobacterales; Enterobacteriaceae.
AAAUUGAAGAGUUUGAUCAUGGCUCAGAUUGAACGCUGGCGGCAGGCCUAACACAUGCAAGUCGAACGGUAACAGGAAACAGCUUGCUGUUUCGCUGACGAGUGGCGGACGGGUGAGUAAUGUCUGGGAAACUGCCUGAUGGAGGGGGAUAACUACUGGAAACGGUAGCUAAUACCGCAUAACGUCGCAAGACCAAAGAGGGGGACCUUCGGGCCUCUUGCCAUCGGAUGUGCCCAGAUGGGAUUAGCUUGUUGGUGGGGUAACGGCUCACCAAGGCGACGAUCCCUAGCUGGUCUGAGAGGAUGACCAGCCACACUGGAACUGAGACACGGUCCAGACUCCUACGGGAGGCAGCAGUGGGGAAUAUUGCACAAUGGGCGCAAGCCUGAUGCAGCCAUGCCGCGUGUAUGAAGAAGGCCUUCGGGUUGUAAAGUACUUUCAGCGGGGAGGAAGGGAGUAAAGUUAAUACCUUUGCUCAUUGACGUUACCCGCAGAAGAAGCACCGGCUAACUCCGUGCCAGCAGCCGCGGUAAUACGGAGGGUGCAAGCGUUAAUCGGAAUUACUGGGCGUAAAGCGCACGCAGGCGGUUUGUUAAGUCAGAUGUGAAAUCCCGGGCUCAACCUGGGAACUGCAUCUGAUACUGGCAAGCUUGAGUCUCGUAGAGGGGGGUAGAAUUCCAGGUGUAGCGGUGAAAUGCGUAGAGAUCUGGAGGAAUACCGGUGGCGAAGGCGGCCCCCUGGACGAAGACUGACGCUCAGGUGCGAAAGCGUGGGGAGCAAACAGGAUUAGAUACCCUGGUAGUCCACGCCGUAAACGAUGUCGACUUGGAGGUUGUGCCCUUGAGGCGUGGCUUCCGGAGCUAACGCGUUAAGUCGACCGCCUGGGGAGUACGGCCGCAAGGUUAAAACUCAAAUGAAUUGACGGGGGCCCGCACAAGCGGUGGAGCAUGUGGUUUAAUUCGAUGCAACGCGAAGAACCUUACCUGGUCUUGACAUCCACGGAAGUUUUCAGAGAUGAGAAUGUGCCUUCGGGAACCGUGAGACAGGUGCUGCAUGGCUGUCGUCAGCUCGUGUUGUGAAAUGUUGGGUUAAGUCCCGCAACGAGCGCAACCCUUAUCCUUUGUUGCCAGCGGUCCGGCCGGGAACUCAAAGGAGACUGCCAGUGAUAAACUGGAGGAAGGUGGGGAUGACGUCAAGUCAUCAUGGCCCUUACGACCAGGGCUACACACGUGCUACAAUGGCGCAUACAAAGAGAAGCGACCUCGCGAGAGCAAGCGGACCUCAUAAAGUGCGUCGUAGUCCGGAUUGGAGUCUGCAACUCGACUCCAUGAAGUCGGAAUCGCUAGUAAUCGUGGAUCAGAAUGCCACGGUGAAUACGUUCCCGGGCCUUGUACACACCGCCCGUCACACCAUGGGAGUGGGUUGCAAAAGAAGUAGGUAGCUUAACCUUCGGGAGGGCGCUUACCACUUUGUGAUUCAUGACUGGGGUGAAGUCGUAACAAGGUAACCGUAGGGGAACCUGCGGUUGGAUCACCUCCUUA